RNAcentral lists this ribosomal RNA (474 nucleotides) under uncultured bacterium. RNAcentral describes it as "SSU rRNA". It matches the Rfam family "Bacterial small subunit ribosomal RNA", at positions 26 to 521 of the family's 1533-position model. The record is from RNAcentral.
AGGAUGAACGCUGGCGGUCUGCUUAACACAUGCAAGUCGAACGGAGUACCUCGGUACUUAGUGGCGGACGGGUGAGUAACGCGUGAGAAUCUGCCCUUAGGUCGGGGACAACCAUUGGAAACGAUGGCUAAAUACCGGAUAAGCCGAGAGGUAAAAGAUUAAUUGCCUAGGGAAGAGCUCGCGUCUGAUUAGCUAGUUGGUGAGGUAAAGGCUCACCAAGGCAUCGAUCAGUAGCUGGUCUGAGAGGAUGAUCAGCCACACUGGGACUGAGACACGGCCCAGACUCCUACGGGAGGCAGCAGUGGGGAAUUUUGGACAAUGGGCGAAAGCCUGAUCCAGCCAUUCCGCGUGAGUGAAGAAGGCCUUCGGGUUGUAAAGCUCUUUCGCAAGAGAAGAAACUUAUCCUCUAACAUAGGUGAGGUUGACGGUAUCUUGAUAAGAAGCACCGGCUAACUACGUGCCAGCGGCCGCGGU